Molecule: long non-coding RNA, 530 nt
Organism: Hippocampus comes (tiger tail seahorse)
Lineage: Eukaryota; Metazoa; Chordata; Actinopteri; Syngnathiformes; Syngnathidae
Exons: 2
Source: RefSeq, a predicted model, not a curated record
GCAUGCGACUCCGGAGCCGCGGUUUGCCGACCCCUGAUCUAGACUAAUAAUGGGAUGUCUUGCUGGCCGAGUGAUAUUUUCAGCUUCCUUUUUCUUUCUACUGUCUCUGGCUUAUUGGGUUCACCUGACACGCUCAAUGUGACUGUGGUGACGUGAAGCAUGACGUGUGUAUAACAUUGCAGAUGUCUGAGGUGGUGGCCUGCCUGUUAGAUGGCCUUUGCAAGGCAGGCAAUGACGGCGUCCUGGAACUGAAGGGGGCCAGACGAGCGUGGAUCCCGGAGGUGGUGGUGGGCUCACGAGCGGAGUCCCCCGUUUCUCUGCCGCCGCCGCAAUUCAACCCACACACGGAGAGCACUUCGCUGUGAGCGGGAUGAUCAUCUGGGCGCUACACGCACAAGGCGGCGGCCAAUGCGAGGUUCGACUCGACUCCUUUGUGACUCUUGUAUGACAAUCCGCUACAAGUCUGACCGCAAACUUGAUCAAAAGUAUUUUUUUUCUAGAAUCUAUUUAACGCACGACCAGAUUAUAAA